AAUCUGUAGUUAAGCGGCCUUUGGAAAGUUAAAACAAAUUCCUUUCACAAUCUACAGUAAGUAAAUUAACAGACAAUGAUAUUGUGGUAACUAGGUGGAUCACAUCUAAAUAUCUUGUAUUAAAACUCACAGUUGCAGUUCAAAAACAUGAAAAAGGAGCAAGUAAUACAAUAUGUCGUCAGGUCCAUAAAGCGAUGGCUACUGCAAGCUCCUGACAUAAAUGUUAUUUUGGUUACAAAUUUAUACUUAUUUUGCAAUUUCUUCACUCUUGGCUAUUUUUGGGUAACUUGGUUGUAUUUACUAAAUUUAUGAGAUUCAGCUUGACAAGCAGAAAAGUUCGGAAAUCGAGAACAAAAGUUAGUUCAAGCAAGCAUCAAAUUGAAAUGAUGGUUGAAGUUUAACCGUUUGCUAACUUUUAUAUGUAUUGUAUUGCAAGACAAUUUUAUUGAAAUAAAAAUAUUUGGGAUAAUAAAACAUAUUGCUAAAA
Molecule: long non-coding RNA, 487 nt
Organism: Hydra vulgaris (swiftwater hydra)
Lineage: Eukaryota; Metazoa; Cnidaria; Hydrozoa; Anthoathecata; Hydridae
Source: RefSeq, a predicted model, not a curated record